This 381-nucleotide ribosomal RNA is filed under the name Triticum aestivum (bread wheat). RNAcentral describes it as "partial small subunit ribosomal RNA". Lineage: Eukaryota; Viridiplantae; Streptophyta; Magnoliopsida; Poales; Poaceae. The record is from RNAcentral.
AUGCUGUCCGGCUGGUCUGCAUCUGGGCGCUCUCCACCGCCUGCUUCUUCCUCGUCUCCCUCGCAAUCUCCUGCGCAGUCGCCUACGCACUCGACCAGUCCGCAGUGCGUCCGCGCCGAGUCGACAGACGCGGACGGCGACGACUGUAUCGCGAUGCUGUACUGCCCUGCUGCUGCUCCCAGGCCGCCACCGCCGGGUCCGCCGUGCCCUCGCCUGCCUCGCGCUCGCGGUCGCCAUCGUUGGCCAUUAUAUGUUCCUCGCCGGCGCCCUCCGCUUGCUCUUCGCUCCCGGCGUCGACCCUGGGCAAGGAUACAUCGUCGCCCUCGACAUCCUUGUCAGGCUCGGCUGCACCGUGGUCAUCGUCAUCUUCCCGGCGGGUGA